CCUGGCGGCUAUACCGAAGAGGAAACACCCGUUCCCAUCCCGAACACGGAAGUUAAGCUCUUCAGGGCCGAUGAUACUGCACUCGUGAGGGUGUGGGAAAGUAGGUCGUCGCCAGGU
RNAcentral lists this ribosomal RNA (117 nucleotides) under Nitrospirota bacterium. The record is from RNAcentral. Lineage: Bacteria; Pseudomonadati; Nitrospirota.